GACGAACGCUGGCGGCGUGCUUAACACAUGCAAGUCGAACGGAACCGUCCUGUUUUUGUGCGGAGCUCGAGUGGACAACGGGUGAGCAACACGUGAGUUAGCUGUCCUUGCCUUUGGGAUGACUUAAGGCAGCUGAGUCUAAUCGCGCAAAGGAGUUACUGCCGCUGGGUGGGGGUUGGUUAGUUUCGGCGGUUGGGGAUGGAAUCGCGGCCUAUCAGCUUGUUGGAGGGGUAGUGUCUUACCAAGGCUUUGACGGGUAGCCGGCCUGCGAGGGUCACCGGCCACAUUGGGACUGAGAUACGGCCCAGACUCCUACGGGAGGCAGCAGUGGGGAAUAUUGCACAAUGGGCGGAAGCCUGAUGCAGCAACGCCGCGUGCGGGAUGACGGCCUUCGGGUUGGAAACCGCUUUCGCCUGUGACGAAGCGUGAGUGACGGUAAUGGGUAAAGAAGCACCGGCUAACUACGUG
RNAcentral lists this ribosomal RNA (468 nucleotides) under uncultured bacterium. RNAcentral's name for it is "partial 16S ribosomal RNA". It matches the Rfam family "Bacterial small subunit ribosomal RNA", at positions 28 to 507 of the family's 1533-position model. The record is from RNAcentral.